RNAcentral lists this ribosomal RNA (474 nucleotides) under uncultured bacterium. Its description in RNAcentral is "SSU rRNA". It matches the Rfam family "Bacterial small subunit ribosomal RNA", at positions 26 to 518 of the family's 1533-position model. The record is from RNAcentral.
AGGACGAACGCUGGCGGCGUGCUUAACACAUGCAGGUCGAGCGGAAAGGCCCUUCGGGGUACUCGAGCGGCGAACGGGUGAGUAACACGUGAGUAAUCUGCCCCUAGCUCUGGGAUAGCUCCGGGAAACCGGGAUUAAUACCGGAUACGACCACUUUAGACAUCUGUUGUGGUGGAAAGAAUUUUGGCUAGGGAUGAGCUCGCGGCCUAUCAGCUUGUUGGUGGGGUAAUGGCCUACCAAGGCGACGACGGGUAGCCGGCCUGAGAGGGCGACCGGCCACACUGGGACUGAGACACGGCCCAGACUCCUACGGGAGGCAGCAGUGGGGAAUAUUGCGCAAUGGGCGAAAGCCUGACGCAGCGACGCCGCGUGGGGGAUGAAGGCCUUCGGGUUGUAAACCCCUUUCAGCAGGGACGAAGCGAAAGUGACGGUACCUGCAGAAGAAGCGCCGGCUAACUACGUGCCAGCAGCCGC